Non-coding RNA from Nicotiana tabacum (common tobacco), 530 nucleotides. NCBI's taxonomy places the organism in Eukaryota, Viridiplantae, Streptophyta, Magnoliopsida, Solanales, Solanaceae. The record is from RefSeq and is a predicted model, not a curated record.
CUGAUAUUUUCUCCUAAUUCUCUCUCCUCUUCAAAAGUUGAUCCUCAACUCAGUAUUUUCUGAGCUCUUUAGUUUUCUCUACAGGAAAUUCUAGAAUUUUCUUACAAAGAGAGACUCAAAGGUUUAAGAUCUUCUCAAUAACGCACUCUGUGCUGGUUUUUGUGUCAGAAUUUAAUGCGUGUUUAAUAAGGCGUAAUUAAUUUACUGUUGUGAUCAGAUUACGGACGUUAAUACUUAGGAUUUAAUUUUGAUUGAUUCAUAUAAUCUCCAAGGAGAUUGAGAUAAUCUUUGACCUGAGCCAGAUUGUAUAAAAUUCGAGUUUGUUAAGCUGAUUCAGUGAAUUCGAACCACUGCAAGUGUUUCACUGUAAUCUUUCUUUUGAUCAGUAAUGCUGGAAUUUUUGUAAUUUGCUCAGUGACAUACGCGGGUGGUUUGUGCUGUGUUUGACUUUCCUGCAGUAAUGGCGCAGAGUAAUUGGGAAGCAGAUAAGAUGUAUGCAACUUCCUGUGGCUAGGUUCAUUGUUUUUCUU